Sphaerodactylus townsendi is the source of this 394-nucleotide long non-coding RNA. RefSeq lists it as uncharacterized. NCBI's taxonomy places the organism in Eukaryota, Metazoa, Chordata, Lepidosauria, Squamata, Sphaerodactylidae. The record is from RefSeq and is a predicted model, not a curated record. The transcript has 3 exons.
UCUCUUGGAAUAGCUGGUGUCUGCUGUUAUAGAAUACGGAGGGAAGCGAGUUCGAGGGAGCGACCUCUUCAGUCCCAAGGAUGCGGUGGCUAUCACCAAACAGUUCCUCAAAGGGCUGAAGGGAGUUGAAAACGUGUACACCCAACACCAGCCGUUGUUGCACGAGACCCUCGACCAGCUGAUCAAGGGAAAACUGAAGGACAGUCAGUACCCCUACCUCGGUCCCAGCACGCUUCGUGACAGGCCGCAAGACAUCAUCGUCUUUAUCAUCGGAGGGGCGACCUAUGAAGAAGCCCUCACCGUUUACAAUCUGAAUCGCACCACCCCCGGGGUCCGGAUCGUGCUGGGCGGUACCAUUAUCCACAACACAAAAAGGUAAGCUGAGCUUUGAAGC